Molecule: non-coding RNA, 863 nt
Filed under: Trichomonas vaginalis G3
Lineage: Eukaryota; Parabasalia; Trichomonadida; Trichomonadidae
Description: Eukaryotic small subunit ribosomal RNA
Rfam family: Eukaryotic small subunit ribosomal RNA
Source: Rfam by way of RNAcentral
AUUAAGCCAUGCAAGUGUUAGUUCAGGUAACGAAACUGCGAAUAGCUCAUUAAUACGCUCAGAAUCUAUUUGGCGGCGACCAACAGGUCUUAAAUGGAUAGCAGCAGCAACUCUGGUGCUAAUACAUGCGAUUGUUUCUCCAGAUGUGAAUUAUGGAGGAAAAGUUGACCUCAUCAGAGGCACGCCAUUCGACUGAGUGACCUAUCAGCUUGUACUUAGGGUCUUUACCUAGGUAGGCUAUCACGGGUAACGGGCGGUUACCGUCGGACUGCCGGAGAAGGCGCCUGAGAGAUAGCGACUAUAUCCACGGGUAGCAGCAGGCGCGAAACUUUCCCACUCGAGACUUUCGGAGGAGGUAAUGACCAGUUCCAUUGGUGCCUUUUGGUACUGUGGAUAGGGGUACGGUUUUCCACCGUACCGAAACCUAGCAGAGGGCCAGUCUGGUGCCAGCAGCUGCGGUAAUUCCAGCUCUGCGAGUUUGCUCCCAUAUUGUUGCAGUUAAAACGCCCGUAGUCUGAAUUGGCCAGCAAUGGUCGUACGUAUUUUUACGUUCACUGUGAACAAAUCAGGACGCUUAGAGUAUGGCCACAUGAAUGACUCAGCGCAGUAUGAAGUCUUUGUUUUCUUCCGAAAACAAGCUCAAUGAGAGCCAUCGGGGGUAGAUCUAUCUCAUGACGAGUGGUGGAAUACUUUGACUCAUGAGAGAGAAGCUGAGGCGAAGCGUCUACCUAGAGGGUUUCUGUCGAUCAAGGGCGAGAGUAGGAGUAUCCAACAGGAUUAGAGACCCUGGUAGUUCCUACCUUAAACGAUGCCGACAGGAGUUUGUCAUUUGUUAAUGGCAGAAUCUUUGGAGAAAUCAUAGU